UACGUAGGGGGCAAGCGUUAUCCGGAUUUACUGGGUGUAAAGGGAGCGUAGACGGUGAUGCAAGUCAGAAGUGAAAGCCCGGGGCUCAACCCUGGGACUGCUCUGGAAACUGUAAAGCUGGAGUGCAGGAGAGGUAAGCGGAAUUCCUAGUGUAGCGGUGAAAUGCGUAGAUAUAUGGAAGAACACCAGUGGCGAAAGCGGCUCUCUGGUCUGUAACUGACGCUGAGGUUCGAAAGCGUGGGUAGCAAACAGG
RNAcentral lists this ribosomal RNA (253 nucleotides) under uncultured Lachnospiraceae bacterium. Its description in RNAcentral is "partial 16S ribosomal RNA". It matches the Rfam family "Bacterial small subunit ribosomal RNA", at positions 524 to 776 of the family's 1533-position model. Lineage: Bacteria; Bacillati; Bacillota; Clostridia; Lachnospirales; Lachnospiraceae. The record is from RNAcentral.